CGGGGUAGAGUAACACGUGGGUAACCUGCCCAUCAGAAGGGGAUAACACUUGGAAACAGGUGCUAAUACCGUAUAACAAUCGAAACCGCAUGGUUUCGGUUUGAAAGGCGCUUUUGCGUCACUGAUGGAUGGACCCGCGGUGCAUUAGCUAGUUGGUGAGGUAACGGCUCACCAAGGCAACGAUGCAUAGCCGACCUGAGAGGGUGAUCGGCCACAUUGGGACUGAGACACGGCCCAA
RNAcentral lists this ribosomal RNA (238 nucleotides) under uncultured bacterium. Its description in RNAcentral is "partial 16S ribosomal RNA". It matches the Rfam family "Bacterial small subunit ribosomal RNA", at positions 104 to 334 of the family's 1533-position model. The record is from RNAcentral.